UAAUUGAAGAGUUUGAUCAUGGCUCAGAUUGAACGCUGGCGGCAGGCCUAACACAUGCAAGUCGAACGGUAACAGGGAGCAGCUUGCUGCUCUGCUGACGAGUGGCGGACGGGUGAGUAAUGUCUGGGAAACUGCCUGAUGGAGGGGGAUAACUACUGGAAACGGUAGCUAAUACCGCAUAACGUCUUCGGACCAAAGUGGGGGACCUUCGGGCCUCAUGCCAUCAGAUGUGCCCAGAUGGGAUUAGCUAGUAGGUGGGGUAACGGCUCACCUAGGCGACGAUCCCUAGCUGGUCUGAGAGGAUGACCAGCCACACUGGAACUGAGACACGGUCCAGACUCCUACGGGAGGCAGCAGUGGGGAAUAUUGCACAAUGGGCGCAAGCCUGAUGCAGCCAUGCCGCGUGUAUGAAGAAGGCCUUCGGGUUGUAAAGUACUUUCAGCGGGGAGGAAGG
This 454-nucleotide ribosomal RNA is filed under the name Cronobacter sakazakii. RNAcentral describes it as "bacterial SSU rRNA". It matches the Rfam family "Bacterial small subunit ribosomal RNA", at positions 1 to 451 of the family's 1533-position model. The record is from RNAcentral. Lineage: Bacteria; Pseudomonadati; Pseudomonadota; Gammaproteobacteria; Enterobacterales; Enterobacteriaceae.